Molecule: ribosomal RNA, 497 nt
Filed under: uncultured bacterium
Lineage: Bacteria
Description: partial 16S ribosomal RNA
Rfam family: Bacterial small subunit ribosomal RNA
Source: RNAcentral
GACGAACGCUGGCGGCGUGCCUAAUACAUGCAAGUAGAACGCUGAAGAGAGGAGCUUGCUCUUCUUGGAUGAGUUGCGAACGGGUGAGUAACGCGUAGGUAACCUGCCUGGUAGCGGGGGAUAACUAUUGGAAACGAUAGCUAAUACCGCAUAAAAUUGAUUAUUGCACGAUAAUUAAUUGAAAGAUGCAACUGCAUCACUACCAGAUGGACCUGCGUUGUAUUAGCUAGUUGGUGAGGUAACGGCUCACCAAGGCGACGAUACAUAGCCGACCUGAGAGGGUGAUCGGCCACACUGGGACUGAGACACGGCCCAGACUCCUACGGGAGGCAGCAGUAGGGAAUCUUCGGCAAUGGGGGGAACCCUGACCGAGCAACGCCGCGUGAGUGAAGAAGGGUUUCGGAUCGUAAAGCUCUGUUGUAAGAGAAGAACGGGUGUGAGAGUGGAAAGUUCACACUGUGACGGUAUCUUACCAGAAAGGGACGGCUAACUACGUG